Molecule: ribosomal RNA, 301 nt
Filed under: uncultured bacterium
Lineage: Bacteria
Description: partial 16S ribosomal RNA
Rfam family: Bacterial small subunit ribosomal RNA
Source: RNAcentral
CAGCAGCCGCGGGAAUACGUAGGUGGCAAGCGUUGUCCGGAAUUAUUGGGCGUAAAGGGCUCGCAGGCGGUUUCUUAAGUCUGAUGUGAAAGCCCCCGGCUCAACCGGGGAGGGUCAUUGGAAACUGGGAAACUCGAGUGCAGAAGAGGAGAGUGGAAUUCCACGUGUAGCGGUGAAAUGCGUAGAGAUGUGGAGGAACACCAGUGGCGAAGGCGACUCUCUGGUCUGUAACUGACGCUGAGGAGCGAAAGCGUGGGGAGCGAACAGGAUUAGAUACCCGCGUAGUCCCUGUCUCUUAUAC